AUAGCAGGCCGUUCUAUCGCUGUCCCUUACGGGAAAGAGGAAAGUCCGGGCAACACAGGACAUCGUGCUUCUUAACGGGAAGAUGUUCGUGAGGGCAUAGUAACGUAACAGAAAACAACCGUUCCUUUGGAACAAGGGUGAAAAGGCGGGGUAAGAGCCCACCGGUGUCGCGGGCAAUCGCGACAGCCGUACGUCUCACGAGUUGCAAGGCCAUGUAUACCGGCGAAUAUGGUUGGUCCGACCAUUGCCGGGGGGUAGGCUGCUAGAGCUGUAAAGUGAUUUGCAGCGUAGAUAAAUGAUAGAAACCGAAAGGUACAGAACCCGGCUUACAGGCCUGCUAUUUUU
RNAcentral lists this RNase P RNA (345 nucleotides) under Odoribacter sp. RNAcentral's name for it is "RNase P RNA component class A". It matches the Rfam family "Bacterial RNase P class A". Rfam says of the family: Ribonuclease P (RNase P) is a ubiquitous endoribonuclease, found in archaea, bacteria and eukarya as well as chloroplasts and mitochondria. Lineage: Bacteria; Pseudomonadati; Bacteroidota; Bacteroidia; Bacteroidales; Odoribacteraceae. The record is from RNAcentral.